CUUCCCCGCGCGGCCCCGCGUGUUUUGCCGCGCGCGCCAAUACAUCGAUCGUCCUAUACAUCGCGGCGUCCUCCAAUCAUCUCGACGCCUCUGAUCAUCUCGACGCCGCCGGGCCUUGUAUCUGAAACUCGACGCCUCCAAUCAUCGCAGCCAUCAGGAGCCGGCACCUCCAUCCCGAUCCGCACGCUGGAAGGAGACGGAUCGAGGAGGGGCGUGGAUCGACGAGGACUGCUGGUGUAGCAAUUGCAAUGGAAGGGGGGGAAUUUUUGACUGACAUCCUUUGCAACGGAGUUCACAAUGAAGUUGAUGGUGAUCUUGCUGGUCUCGACGAUUUCGAGAUUCCGAUGACCCAAGAAACACAGUAUGAAGAUGUGGAAGAGGUCCAGGCUACUCGCAGCUCAAAUAAAUCCAAGAGGUCCAAGAACUUUUUUUUAAGGAAGAUGAAGUUAUAUGCGAUGGAUGGCUGUACGUUAGCAAGGAUCCAAUUCACGGUGCCAAUCAAACUCGUGCAUCAUUUUGGAAGAAAGUUCAUGCUUAUUUUCUGAAGAACAAGAAGACUGAUGCUGUGAGGACACAAAGUUCCAUUAUGCACAGGUGGCUUACAAUUCAGCUGCAAGUGAACAAGUAUUGUUCAUGCGUAGAGGCUAUUGAACGUAGGAAUCAGAGUGGCAUGACUAUCGAAAACAAGCCUCGAAGAUGUACACCGCACUAGACAAAGAAAAGAAGUCAUUCACGCUUAUCCAUUGUUAUGACAUACUGAAGAAGGAGGACAAGUGGGCAGCUAGGAGGGUGCACCUUGCCAAUCUGGAGAAACAACAAAAGAAUAAAGAGAAGAACAGCAAGAAGCGCAACAAAACAUCGAGCCCAAGAGGUGAGGAAUCACCCAUCCAAGAAGUAGCAAUAGAUGUAGAUGAUGAGCCGGCGGAACCUAUCAAGAAGGCAGUCGGGAUCAAGAAGACAAAGCAAAAUCUUAGGCGAGGGGACAAAAAAAUAGAUCGACUAUUCCACAGUAUAUCAUGAUUACAUAUAUUUUUAAACAACAGGACAAAAAACCUAAAGUACUCAUUGCAUAUAUUUUUAAAUUCGGUAGCUAUAUAAAUCAGGGUGAUUGUUCCAGAGGUGCU
This is a long non-coding RNA of Sorghum bicolor (sorghum), 1124 nucleotides long. RefSeq lists it as uncharacterized. Lineage: Eukaryota; Viridiplantae; Streptophyta; Magnoliopsida; Poales; Poaceae. The transcript is spliced from 2 exons. The record is from RefSeq and is a predicted model, not a curated record.